This 527-nucleotide ribosomal RNA is filed under the name uncultured bacterium. Its description in RNAcentral is "bacterial SSU rRNA". The stretch from base 6 to 473 matches the Rfam family "Bacterial small subunit ribosomal RNA", at positions 33 to 541 of the family's 1533-position model. The record is from RNAcentral.
GACGAACGCUGGCGGCGUGGAUUAGGCAUGCAAGUCGGACGGUAGGGCUUUAUCGUAAGAUAGAGUUUGAGAGUGGCGAACGGGUGAGUAACACGUAGGAAUCUACCCUUAAGACGGGGACAACCCAGGGAAACUUGGGCUAAUACCGGAUGAGAGUGCGAGAGAUUGCAUUUAAAAGGAUGGCGAAAGUUGUCGCUUAGGGAUGAGCCUGCGGUCUAUUAGUUAGUUGGUGAGGUAAGAGCUCACCAAGGCGAUGAUAGAUAGGCGGCCUGAGAGGGCGACCGGCCACACUGGGACUGAGACACGGCCCAGACUCCUACGGGAGGCAGCAGUGGGGAAUAUUGCACAAUGGGCGAAAGCCUGAUGCAGCGACGCCGCGUGAGGGAUGACGGCCUCGGUUGUAACUACUUCUAGUCAGGAAGAAGACGAAAGUAGACGGUACGUCGCAGAAGAAGACGACCGGCCGUAACCGUACCGUACGUCCGACGCCAGCCGGCCGGGUAAAACGGUAACCGUUACGUACUUAC